Molecule: long non-coding RNA, 791 nt
Organism: Cephus cinctus (wheat stem sawfly)
Lineage: Eukaryota; Metazoa; Arthropoda; Insecta; Hymenoptera; Cephidae
Exons: 3
Source: RefSeq, a predicted model, not a curated record
CGUGAGCAUCACGAAGCCUGAUUAUGAGUCCAAGUCCCAGGGGCCCGUAGCUGUAACAGCAUGGCGCAGCGGCCGGUGUCUCUUAGCUUCGAGGAACUCGACUUCCUCGAAGGGGAUCCUCUCCUUCUAUUUUUCUUUUUCCCCGAUUGGCCUUUAGAACCUUGCCAGAGCCUCUUUCUCGCUCCCUGGCUCCUCUCACCUUGUUACCAGUCGCCGUCCUGUGCAACCUCACGUCAGCAGCAUUCGUAGUCACGGUGUCCAUUGUCGCACGACGCCGACGGACAGAAUGCCACAGUCAAUUCCUAUUAUAUCCAGAACGAGUAUCUCUGAAUGCACGCUGAACGAAGUCGACAGAAAAGAAGCAAGACUCCUGGGGAACAGAUCAAGCGUAAAUCUAAGGUGAAGAGUUCAAGGGAAUAGGAUGUGCUUCGGGUUGAGUAUGAUAUACAGUCCAGGAUUAGGGAUCGAGCAUGAAGGACAUGACGCCAUGAGGAUGCGCAGAGCACAAUGAUAAUUAAACGCAAUUUGCUCCCCUUUGACACCGUCCUCUCUACGCCCCUAGUGCAGUUUAUUCCAUUCACGACGCCCUCAACACUCCCUCGUCUCGUCGGCGUGGAGGGCGUCGUAAAUCCAUUAGGCGUCUAGGCGCGUCCCUCACUCGAUGUGUCCCACGUUGCAUUAAACGAGAGUUCGACCCGGUCGAAGCCUAACGUAGCCCUUCCAAGGGUGUCUACGUCUGUCUCGAGAGGUUUUCUCUCCUGGUGAACAAGGGGUACCUCACCGUCAUCGUC